RNAcentral lists this ribosomal RNA (341 nucleotides) under uncultured Prevotella sp. RNAcentral's name for it is "partial 16S ribosomal RNA". Lineage: Bacteria; Pseudomonadati; Bacteroidota; Bacteroidia; Bacteroidales; Prevotellaceae. The record is from RNAcentral.
GGAGUUUGGACCGUGUCUCAGUUCCAAUGUGGGGGACCUUCCUCUCAGAACCCCUACUGAUCGCGGGCUUGGUGGGCCGUUACCCCGCCAACAACCUAAUCAGACGCAUCCCCAUCCCAUAGCGGUGAACCUUUGGUAUUCUUCAGAUGUCAUCGAAAUACAACAUAGAGCAUUAAUCCGACUUUCGCCGGGCUAUUCCCUAGUAAGGGGAAGGUUGGAUACGCGUUACUCACCCGUGCGCCGGUCGCCAUCAAAGUUUGCAAGCAAACUUCAUGCUGCCCCUCGACUUGCAUGUGUUAAGCCUGUAGCUAGCGUUCAUCCUGAGCCAUGAUCAAAACUCU